Molecule: unclassified non-coding RNA, 240 nt
Filed under: plant metagenome
Description: partial contains small subunit ribosomal RNA, internal transcribed spacer 1, and 5.8S ribosomal RNA
Source: RNAcentral
UUUCCGUAGGUGAACCUGCGGAAGGAUCAUUACUGAGUUAGGGUCUUUAUGGCCCGACCUCCAACCCUUUGUUUAAUCUACCAUGUUGCUUUGGCAGGCCCGCUUAGAAAUGGGCCGCCGGAGACCUUUGAGUCUCUGGUCAGUGCCUGCCAGUAGCCUUUCUAAAUUCAUUUAUAACCGUGUCUGAAUAUACAAAGAAAAAUUAAAAUAAAACUUUCAACAACGGAUCUCUUGGUUCUG